GUGAGUGCGGGAGACUUUAAGUACUUACGGCCACUGGCCACUAGAUGGCAGGAUAAUUCCGGUUUGAGUCAGGGAAAGCCUGCCACAAUCCAUUGUCCUUUGAGGAAAGCUGCGCUUCUUUAUGGCUGGACUGGGAUUGGGGGCAAGACAUGUUCACUAUUUCACGCCAGGGAUACAGGGGGCUUCCAGGAGCAUCUGGAGUCAGGGCAAUGACAGCGGCUACCAAUAGUCCAGGACGGUGAUCACUUUUUAAAGGACAGAUCUCACAGCCUGAAGACAACAGGCCAGGCCUCUCUGCAGCUAUCUGUGGGACCAAAAGUUAAGAAGCUAGCUGUCUGUGCUGUGGCCUCCGCGGGUAUUCUCUGAUUAAUGGUUCUGACCAGUAUUUGGCUCCUCCAUCCUCUUUGUCAUGGAUGCUAUGUUGAACUAAUUUAUAUGGUAUGAAAUGCACCCCCCCAUUUCCUCAAAACUUACAUAGAAAGCUCAUAUUUUCACUGUUUGUAGGAUUACUUUGGAGACGUUCUCUGAAGAGGCUCAUCUGCCCCCACCGAUGCCUCUCCUGGCAGUUUCUCUCUCUCUCUCUCUCUCUCUCUCUCUCUCUCUCUCUCUCUCUCACUCUCUCUCUCUCUCUCUCGUUCUGGGACUUAAAGGCAUGUGCUACCAUCGCCCGGCUUUAUUCUUUUAAAAUAUAUUUAUUUUAUGUGUAUGUGUGUGUGUGUGUGUGCCUACAUAUAUGUAUGUACACCACAUGUAUCAGGAGCUCAUGGAGGCCAGAAGACGGUGUCAGAUCCCCUGGAACUGGAGUUACAAGUUGUUGUGAGCCUACAUGUAGGUGCUGGGAAUUGAACCUGGGUCCUCUGCAAUAGUGGAUCUAGAAUCUCCAUGGAAAUAAAUCUGUGGACAUGCCUUGGAGGAAUUGCAUGGAUGAGAAUUGCAGAGAGGCUAAAGUUGGUGAGAGCACCAAGUUUCUGAGGGAAUCCCAAGAAGUCAAAAUGAGUAUCAAAGCUGUUUGGUUGUCAACUGGACUACAUCUGGAAUGAACUAAACCCAAGCACUGGGCACACCUGUGAGGGAUUUAUUUUUUUCUUAAUUAAACCAUUUGAAGUAGGAAGACCCACUUCUCAUCCAGAUCUUUGAGGUGAGAAGAAACAACUUUAACCUGAGCCACACCUUCUGCUGGCAGCCUGUGUACAGGACAUGGAAGAAGACAGUUUGCUCCCUUUGCCUGCUUGCUCUCUUGAUCUUGCUGGCAAGCUCACUCCUUCACUGACAUUAGAGCCUACUUUGGGAUUUCAGCAUAUACUGAAGACCAGCUGAGGCAUCCAGCCUCAUGAACCGAAC
RNAcentral lists this long non-coding RNA (1341 nucleotides) under Cricetulus griseus (Chinese hamster). Its description in RNAcentral is "lncRNA (ENSCGRG00015033931.1)". The record is from RNAcentral. Lineage: Eukaryota; Metazoa; Chordata; Mammalia; Rodentia; Cricetidae.